AGCAGCCGCGGUAGUUCCAGCUCCAAUAGCGUAUAUUAAAGUUGUUGCAGUUAAAAAGCUCGUAGUUGAAUUUCGGGAUCAGUACGCUGGUCGUGCCUUCGGUAUGCACUGGUGUCACUGGUUUCUCCCUUCUGAAGAACCAUCAUGCCAUUCAGUUGGUGUGGCGGGAAAUCAGGACUGUUACUUUGAAAAAAUUGAGUGUUUAAAGCAGGCUCGCGCUUGAAUACAUUAGCAUGGAAUAUGAAAUAGGACGUUUGACCCUAUUUUCGUUGGUUUUCUAGGGAUCGCGUAAUGAGUUAAUAGGGAUAGUUGGGGGCUAUUGGUAUUCAAUUUGUAC
This 337-nucleotide ribosomal RNA is filed under the name uncultured Glomus. RNAcentral's name for it is "bacterial SSU rRNA". It matches the Rfam family "Eukaryotic small subunit ribosomal RNA", at positions 569 to 908 of the family's 1831-position model. The record is from RNAcentral. Lineage: Eukaryota; Fungi; Glomeromycota; Glomeromycetes; Glomerales; Glomeraceae.